Molecule: long non-coding RNA, 2627 nt
Organism: Macadamia integrifolia
Lineage: Eukaryota; Viridiplantae; Streptophyta; Magnoliopsida; Proteales; Proteaceae
Exons: 3
Source: RefSeq, a predicted model, not a curated record
UUGGGGUUAGGAGAGGCAGCCAUGGCCACUAAGAAAGGAAAGGACUGGAAGAAGGAGGGGAGGAGGGGCUGCUGGAAGUUCCGGUAGAGCUGGCCGCCAGAGAGGGGAGAGGGAGGAGCUCAGGACAUCUUAGGGAAGAGGGAGGUCAAUUGGAUGGCUGCCACCAAUAUCAUUUGUCUUCUAUUUUUUUUUUCUUUACUUUUGCUUCUGUUAAGUGGUCCACAGACUUAAUAUAAUGAAUGCCAUUUCAUGGUCAAUGAAACAAUCUCAUAAAGAAUCUGAUGAACUUUUUUUUGGAGUAGCAUCUCCUUUUUAUUGACAUUUUUGUUUGACAUCUAGAAUCAAUUUUAAGUCCUUGUCUAUCGCUUAUCAUAGAUGAUUUAACCAAGAACGUUCACGUGGAGGUUCUAUGGUGUAUGUUCUUCGCCGAUGAUAUUGUGCUUGUGGCUGAGAUAGUGAUAGAGAUCAAUGAAAGAUUAGAGUUAUGGCGAUCUACUUUAGAUUCUAGGGGUCCUAAAAUAAGUAGAACAAAGACGGAGUAUAUGGUAUGUAACUUCAGCCACUCAAGGACGGAUUAUGAUGUAGUGAAACUUGAGGAGAGAGAGAUCCCACAACGUAAUCAUUUCAAAUAUUUUCGGUCAAUCAUUAAAAAAGGUGGUGAGAUAGAUGAUGAUGUGUCUCAUAGAAUUAAAGUAGGAUAGAUGAAAAGGAAAGGUGCACCUGGACUGUUGUGUGAUCGACAUAUACCCCUAAAGCUUAAAGGAAAAAUCUAUAGGACAUUCAUAAGACCAGGUAUAAUGUAUGGGGUGGAAUGUUGGGCAGUCAAGAAGUGUAACAUGGAUAAUUUAAGUGUAGCAGAGAUGAGGAUGUUCAGCAAAACUAGGAAUGAUAGGGUGAGGAAUGAACAGGUUAGAUCUAAUUUGGGAGUUACUCCGAUCAGGAUAAGCUUUGAGAAUGUCGCUUAAGGUGGUUUGGACAUGUUCAGCGUAAAGAAGAGUGAUCAGAUCCAGAUGGAGGGAGCUAAUAGAGCUAAUGGUAGCCUAAAUCAACCAUUGAAGAGUUACUAACGAAAGACAUGUAGACUUUCGAUCUAGAUUCUAGUAUGACAUCAAACAGAGUUAUUUGGAAGGCAAAGAUCCAUGAUGCAGAUUGCACUUAGGUGGAUGUCCCAGAGAUGUUGCUUUGCUAUGUCUCUUUCUUACCUUUGCUUUUAUCUUGGACUAUCACGGACCAUGUAGCUGACCCCAUUUAGUUGGGAAAAGGCUUUAUUAUUCUUGUUGUUGUAUUUAUAUCUACUUAAUCCAUAGACUUCACUUCCCCCUCCUAACCCCUUUCUACUUGUUGUUGUUGUAUUGAUACCUACUUAAUCCAUGCCUUAGGCUAUCAAGUUAUAAGUCUUUUGUUUUUUUAAAUACAUGUUUAGUUUGAUAUCCUUAUCUACUUUUCUUUUUUCUUUUCUUUUUUAUAAUUUUAUUGAAUGGUAUAAUGUUGUGCUACCAAGUCUGAGUAACCUUGUGACAUGUAUACAAAUGGGUUAUCAUUGUUUUAUUCAUGUUUUAAGUAUUUUGUUCAAUCCUUAUCCUGUUUUUUUAUUGAAUCUGAACAAUUCCCCUGAAAUUAUUGACAUUAUUAAUUUUUUAGUGCCUCUUUCUUAGGCUGACCACUUGAUUUUCUUCAAUUCUAUCUAUCGUAUAUGAUAUAUGGGGACAGAAUGAAUCCUUUCUUAAUUGAUUUUUUCCUUGUAAGAUUGCUAGAGGAACCUAUUCGUCUGAUAGACCAUCUAGAUGUUGCUGCAAUGUAUCCAAAUAUCAUUUUAACAAAUGGGCUCCAGGUUAUUCUGCACUGUUUAGGAAGCAUGGAAUUGUCUUCAUUAUAAUUGGAAGGCUUACAGAAUUGUCUGUAUGAAGGCUGUUUAUAGGUAGAGAAUCUAGGGUUCUCAGUAAGUACACUUUUUUACAGAUCAGGGCAUACAAGGAAAAUUUUAUCCGUCCAAAUAAGAACCAAGAUGCUGUGGAGAGUUCUAUAAUAACCACCUUUUGGAGAUUGUGAAGUAAAUUGGUGGUCAUGUUGAAUGCUUUGAAAGUGGUGUUUUUAGAUCUGAUCUUCCUAGUAAUGUUUGACUUGAUCCAUCUGCAUAUGUGGUGAUUUGUGUUCCUUUCUUCUUUUCCAUCUGUGUGGAAGUAUAUGAUGAUUUUUACGCAGUUUGCUAAGCAGCUUGAUUGACAUCAGUAUACUCUUUUCCAUCUCCAUCAAUUAGUCACUAACCUUGAUCGUGAUCUGUAAUAUGCAAUAAUUGUGAAGGGUAAGAUGGACACUGGAUCUGUCUCCAAUUAUGCUGAAGUGAAGGAUGCUAUCAUGAAAAAGGUUGUCGGUUUCUGUUUUCAAGCUUUGAUAUUUUAUUAAGUACUGAUAUCUACUUAAUCCAUAGGCAUCAAUUCCCCCUUCCCAUUUGAGUAUGCUUCCAAUCUCAAUUGUACAGCCUACUCAAAUGAUGAUAUGUAGACAGAUUGCUGAAAUAAAUUAUGGAGAAAGAGGAUCUUGAUCUUGUAUGUUGUUCCUAUUACUAGCUAACGUAUAAUGGAUUGUUAUCUGCCAUUUUUUUUCUGUUAAAUAAAAUUUUCUAAUAA